This 409-nucleotide ribosomal RNA is filed under the name bacterium. RNAcentral describes it as "partial 16S ribosomal RNA". It matches the Rfam family "Bacterial small subunit ribosomal RNA", at positions 355 to 776 of the family's 1533-position model. RNAcentral also lists the same sequence under 1 other name. The record is from RNAcentral.
UGGGGAAUAUUGCACAAUGGGCGAAAGCCUGAUGCAGCGACGCCGCGUGAGGGAUGACGGCCUUCGGGUUGUAAACCUCUUUCAGUAGGGACGAAGCGCAAGUGACGGUACCUGCAGAAGAAGCACCGGCUAACUACGUGCCAGCAGCCGCGGUAAUACGUAGGGUGCAAGCGUUGUCCGGAAUUACUGGGCGUAAAGAGUUCGUAGGCGGUUUGUCGCGUCGUUUGUGAAAACCAGCAGCUCAACUGCUGGCUUGCAGGCGAUACGGGCAGACUUGAGUACUGCAGGGGAGACUGGAAUUCCUGGUGUAGCGGUGAAAUGCGCAGAUAUCAGGAGGAACACCGGUGGCGAAGGCGGGUCUCUGGGCAGUAACUGACGCUGAGGAACGAAAGCGUGGGUAGCGAACAGG